Molecule: long non-coding RNA, 6735 nt
Filed under: Homo sapiens (human)
Lineage: Eukaryota; Metazoa; Chordata; Mammalia; Primates; Hominidae
Description: long independently transcribed non-coding RNA 1694 (LINC01694)
Source: RNAcentral
CUCAUUUUCUCUUGCUGCCGCCAUGAUUCUGAGGCCUCCCCAGCCAUGUGGAACUGCAAUACUUUAAAGACACAAAGUCUCAACAACCAUCUUCCGCUUGACGAGACAGAUCAUUCUAAUUUGAGCAGAAGCUACUAUGUCCUGCCCUUUGAACGCGGCGGCCCGGACAGCUGACAAGGACACACUGUGUAUUUCCAUUCCAAUUCUGGGAGUGCUCUGAGGCCUCUGGGGGAGAAGGACCCAUGAAAUAUUCAAAACAUAAGUGAAUAAAAUAUCUAGGUGCUAGAUAUGGGCCAGGAAGAGCCCUCGGCCCUGCAAAGUGUGUGUGAUGGUGAGAAGCUACCGGAAGAGAUGGUCCCUGUGCUUGGUUCAUUCCUUGGACAUUUAUCAAGCUGACGAAUGUAGCAGAGGUGCUUCAGUCGGCUGUAAUUCCACGGGUGGAGUGCUGGCUGGAGAGUUACCUGGGGCUGUCACACUGCAUGGGCUCCGGGACACUGUGGCUGCCCUUAUGUGGUGUCCCCGGAGGGCCCUGCAGGUGUCACACCGCUGCUCCACACUGCCACCUGCUGUCAGCAUCUGUGCAACGUAUCCAGGUCUCUGGGGGCUAGAAUGAAAAACAUGCAUCUCGUAACCAAUGAAAUCGGGCUUGUCCUGAAGACCUCGUGCAUUCAUCCAUUCUCACACUGCUAUAAAGACAUACCUAAGACUGGGCACUUCAUGAAGAAAAGAGGUUUAAUUGGCUCACGGUUCUGCAGGCUUUACAGGAAGCAUAGCAGCUUCCACUUCUAGGGAGGCCUCAGGAAACUUAUAGUCAUGGUGGAAGGUGAAGGCGGGACAAGGCGUCUCACAUGGGAGCAGUAGAGAGAGAAAAAGAGGGGGUGCCGCACACUUUGAAACAACCAGAUCUAACGAUAACUCACUAUCAUGAGAACAGCACCAAGAAGCUGGCGCUAACCCACUUGUGAAGGACCACCACCAUGAUCCAAUCCCUUCCCACCAGGUCCCACUUCCAACGUUGGGGAUUACACUUCACGGUGAGAUUUGUGCAGAGAGGACACAGGUCCAAACCAUAUCACCUGCUGUCUUUUUAUUUAUUUAUUUAUUUAUUUAUUUAUUGAGACAGAGUUGCUUCGUCACCCAGGCUGGAGUGCAGUGGCGUGAUCUCGGCUCACUGCAAGCUCCGCCUCCCGGGUUCGCACCAUUCUCCUGCCUCAGCCUCCCGAGUAGCUGGGACAACAGGCGCCUGCCACCACACCCAGCUAAUUUUUUGUAUUUUUAGUAGAGACGGGGUUUCACCAUGUUAGCCAGGAUGGUCUCCAUCUCCUGACCUCGUGAUCCGCCCGCCUCGGCCUUCCAAAGUGCUGGGAUUACAGACAUGAGCCACUGCGCCUGGCCUAUUGAUUUAUUUUUGAGAUGGGGUUUCGCUCUUGUGGCCCAGGCUGGAGUGCAAUGGCACGAUCUCGGCUCACUGCAACCUCCGCCUCCCAAGUUCAAGUGAUUCUCCUGUCUCAGUCUCCCAAGUAGCUGGGAUUACAGGCAUGCGCCACCAUGCCCAGCUAAUUUUGUAUUUUUAGUAGAGACAGGGUUUCUCCAUGUUGUUCAGGCUGGUCUCGAGCUCCCGACCUUAGGUGAUCCACCCGCCUCAGCCUCCCAAAGUGCUGGGAUUACAGGUGUGAGCCACUGCGCCUUGCCCACCUGCUGUCUUUUUGCAUCUUCCAAGUAGACAUCAAAGAUUGGUUUGCUAUCAGUGUCACUUCUAUAAUCCGUGGUUCUAUAUGAAGAAAACAAAAUCCCAAUUGGGGAAAAUGAACCCAUGGCAUUUUGUUUCUUACUCUGGAGCCGUUUCUGGCAGUUUGCCAGCAAGCACACAGACCCACAGGACAAGCUUGGUUCAUGGCCUGGAGUGCUGGUCUUGCUCAUGGACACGCAAUCAGAAGCAGUAUUUUGAUACCCCUGUGCUCAUGGCAAGGAGCUGCGUGGGCUUUCAGGGUGGAACCAGGGCUUCAGGGAACCCCUUCAUCCCGACAGGCAUCACCCAGAGCACACCCAGAGCAGCCUGCAGCGGCGUGGAAGGGGCUUGCACUGGCCCCAAGGUGCAGGGGAGCCCUGCCUGCCUGUCUCCUGCUAGGCUUGCCUGGGCUCCCGCCUACAGACCAUGAGAAUUCUUCUAGCAUGGGAAGAGAGUCUGACCAAAGUGACAACAGCCAUCCCCUGACUGCCCAGCACUGUUCACUUCUUCCCAGAUACUCCUACCAGACCAGGUCAGCCCUUCUUUUACUGGGGGGCCAGAAAGGUCCCCCCAAUCCAGUCCAGGACUCCAGAUGAUGCCCAUUUCUCUGCCAGUCCCAGCAAUCUCCCUUCUCAGCAUCUGGCAUCCUGGGAUGUACCCUAAAGUUCACUGGCUCAGAGCACCCUAACUAUGGCUGCGGCGAGGGGGGAGGGCGGGAUCAGGUCGGCGUGCUGCACAUGGGUCCUGGGGCGGGAACAGUAUUCUGGCUAUGCUCCUGCAGCUGGGCCCUCACAAGGGGCAGCGUCUGCACCCUCUCAAGGCUUUGCAGAUAAGGGUUUAUUGAAGAGGGAGGUGACCCACACCAUCCCCACUGAGGGAUCUGGUUAGGGGGCUCCCCCCAGAAUGUAGGCAAGAGGGCAGCAUCUUGAUAGUGAGGGUUGGUCACCCGGGAACCACAGUAACGUCUGCAGGGACCUUCCCCCAGUGGCACGCACUUCCCAGAAUGCUCACGGUCACCCUCAGCUUUCAACUGUGGGGACCUAACGCGUCUCCUGGUAGAGUCCUCACUCCCUUGGCUAAAACUUCUGAAAGCAGCGAGGCCGGGCUCCCUGGCUAGGAUGGCUCUGGCCCUGAGCAGGUCAUUUGCGUCAAGUUUCACCACCCAGCACCCUGUGCUUUCCCCAGCUGGCUGCACGCUGGGCCUCCGGGAAGCCGGCAAGCCCACCUGAUUCUGGAUCCUCCCUCCGAGCCUGGGUGACGCUGUCAUGAAAGAAGCUGCCAGAAGCCCACAGCAGGGCAGUUAGGCAGGGAAUGCGAGUCCGUGUCCAGAGCAAGGGUGACUCCAGUCCCUCCAGGACGGAGAAGCCAGUGCGACCCACUGUCCCAGGCCCCCAUGGCCCUGGCUGCUCCUGGCGGACAGAGGGGCAUGUUGCCCACGCUAUGCCUUGUUCCCUCUGGGCUGCCAUGGCCCCUGGAACAAUUCCUGGGACAGCCUGGGGAGGAGGCUGACAAUCAUGCAAGGUGGAUGCAGCUUGGCCCCUCCCAGUCACCUAUGUGUUCCUUCCUCAGACUCCCGUGGGGCUGGAGUCAUGAUUUUGCUCCCCAUCCCAUCUGUAGGCCGCCCCUGCCUGGAUGAGACCACGCUGACACUCACACGCCUCCCUCCAGGAGGACCUUGCCUCCACUUUCUCCAGGGCCACCUGUGAUGCACCAGGAUCCAUCCUGUAAUCCCAGCUACUUGGGAGGCUGAGGCAGGAGAAUCACUUGAACCUGGGAGGCGAGAGGCAGAGGUUGCAGUAAUAAGCCAAGAUUGGACCACAGCACUCCAGCCUUAGCAAUAGAGAGAGACUUCGUUUCAAAAAAAAAAACCUAUGCAAAUCCCAAUUACACACGCUGAGUGGCAUGUUCAGCUGAGCCACCUGCCCAAGGCGGGACCCUCUCUUCCUCCGUCUGCAGGUCACAUGGAGAUGGCAGAGCACCUGCACGUGCACCUGGAGACCCUCUCAAGCCUCGUCUCCUGGCACUGCCUCCUCCUGACAUUGGAGGCUGCUGGGAGUACCAGCCUGUAACCCUCGUUGUGAUGGCACCUGCCUGGUGCUAUAAUUCAGACAUUUGUCUCCCCAACCUCAUGUUGAAAUUUGAACCCCAAUGUUGGAGGUGGGACCUGACAGAAGGUGCCUAGGACAUGAGAGCUUGGUGCUGUCCUCGCGGUCAUGAAUGCAUUCAUGCUUUAUUCCUUCUCACAAGAACUGAUUGUUAAAAACGCUUGGCACCUCCUCUGCCCACUCUCUCUUGCUCCCUCUCUCACCAUAUGGUCUGCAUGCACCUGCUCCCAUCGCCUUCUGCCAUGAGUGGACACUUCCUGAGGCCUCACCAGAAGCAGAUGCUGGCACCAUGCUUCUUGUACAGCCUGCAGAACUGUGUGCCAAAUAAACCUCUUUUCUUUAUAAAUCACCCAACCUCCCAACACAAAUCGUCCAAGACACCUGGUGUCCCCCAAACAGCUCCUUGGUCAACCUCAGAUUCAGGACCAAUCUGAGAGCUGUUUCCGUGAAGGGAGGAGAGGAGAGUUGUUAGCUGAAGAGGACAUGGGUUUGCUCAAGAUCCCUGCAUUCUCCACUAUGGCUCUCUGAUUCUCCUCUCUGAGCUUGUGGCAGACACGGCAGAUACCUCAAGCAUGGCUGGGCAGCAGAUGCUGGCUGAGAGGAAGUGGCUGAGCCCAACUUGUCCCUCCUCAGACCCCAGAAUUGCCAAGACCAGAGUCCUCCAUAAAGACCUCACAAACAGGCAAUCACUGCAUGCUUUUCCACAAUUAAAUAUGUGCACAUCUUAAGGAAAGGACCUAACAUCCUUCAGCAGUAUCUCUUUCCAGGGCAGGGAGUGACUGCGUCAGCAGCCUCAAGUACCUGGAAACUGUCCACAUCAGGCAAAGUGGUGGGAGAGACACAGAUGUUUCCACCAGCAUUUAAAAGAAAGGAAAGAAAAUUAUUGACAAGAAGCCUCCAUGGUGGAUCAGGCUUCAACGUUUUGAUGGACCUGGCCUCUCUUGGAAGCAAAUCCCUGGAUGGAGCCCAUGUCUCUUUGGGCCCCCAAAGGCAGCCUGACCUUGACACGGAGUGCAAAGCAGACUCAGCUGCUUGUGUUUAAUGGGGAUUCGCAUAGUUGGUUUUUGGUUUUGUUUUUGUUUUGUUUUGUUUUUUGUUUUUUUUUGAGAUGGAGUCUUGCUGUGUUGCCUAGGCUGGAAUGCAGUAGCGUGAUCUCUGCUCACUGCCUGCAACCUCUGCCUCCCCAGUUCAAGUGAUUCUCUUGCUUCAGCCUCCCGAGUAGCUGGGAUCACAGGCACGUGCCACCAUGCCCUGCUAAUUUUUGUAUUUUUAGUGGAGAUGGGGUUUCACCAUGUUGGCCAGGCAGGUCUCGAACUCCUGACCUCAAGUGAUCCUCCCACCGCAGCCUCGAACAAUGCUGGGAAAACAGGCGUGAGCCACUGUACCCAGCUGGGAUUUGUGUAGUUUUGUCCGUGCUGUUAUAUGGUGCACUGGGCAGAGCCAGCCAGUCCCGCCUCGAGCCCCGUUACUUUGGUCUCUGAUGCAGAUGUUGUGUGGCAGUGGAACGGCCUCAUCAGCCCCACCUGGGACCUGGCAGGGGAUGGGUCUGAGCAGCCCUAGAGGAGGGUCCCCAGGGCCCACAGCAAGGGUGACAUGACCCACACCAUCCCCACUGAUGGGACCCACACAGUGAACCUCCUCCCACACCCCCUCCCCAGCCGGCCACUUGGACCAGAGAGACGUUAUCAAAGUGCCCUCUCAGAAACGUCGCCUUCAUCCACCAUCCUCUUUUAACCCACUGGGCUUGGUCAGGAAGCCGUUGGUCAGCAGGGGGCAGGUGGGGUUGGGGGGCACCCUUAUGUCCUGUGAGACCCUAGCAGGCACUCCAGCUUGGGAUUUCCAGAGGCUCUGAGGUGGCUAAGAACAGGAUGACAAAUCGACUCCAAGGUUCAACUCUUCCCCUCAUGGACACUCCUCCCUAUGCUGUUCUCAUCUCAAAUUUUACCUGUUUUUCUCAAAGUAGCUCACCAGAGGUUGGAAAUGAGAUCAAAGGUCAGCGUGGAUCUCAACAUUAUUAUUCAUCAGGGAAAUGCAAAUCACACCAGAGAUGAGACGCCAUGACACUCACACUAGCAGGGCUAAAAUUUAAAAGUCUAGCUGGGGCUGGGCAUGGUGGCUCAUGCCUGUGAUCCCAGCACUUUAGGAGGCCAAGGCAGGAGGAUUGCUUGAAGCCCAGGAGCUCAAGACCAGCCCCGGCACCAAAGCAAAACUGUACCUCUACAAGAAUUUUUUUUUUAAUUGGCUAGAUGUGGUACACAUGCCUGUGGUCACAGCUACUUGGGAGGCUGAGGAGGGAGGAUCACUUGAGUCCACGAGUUCGAGGCUUGGUGAACUGUGAUCAUGCCACUGCACUCCAGUCUGGGCAACAGAGUGGGACCUCAUCUCUUAAAAAUAAAGAAAAGGAAAGGAGUGGAAAGGAGAGGAGAGGAAGAAACUUGAUAUUUCAAUUAUUUUAAAUUUGUUGAGACUUGUUUUGUGGCCUAACAUAUGGUCUAUCCUGGAGAAUGUUCCAUGUGCUGAGGAAAAGAAUGUAUAUUCUGUACAGCUGUUGGAUGGAAUGGUCUGUAAAUGUCUGUUAGGUCCAUUUGGUCUAAACCAUAGUUUAAAUCCAAUGCUUAUUUGUUAAUUUUCUAUCUGAUGAUAUGUUGAAGGCUGACAGUGUGAUGUUGAAGACCCCAACUGUUACUAUAUUAGAGUCUCUCUCUUUAGAUCUAAUAAUAUUCACUUUAUAUAUCUGGAUGAUUUGGUGUUGGGUGCAUAUAUAUUUACAAUUGUUAUAUCUUCUUGCUGAGUCAGUCCCUUUAUCGUUAUAUAAUGACCUUCAUCUCUUUGUAGUUUUUGACUUAAAGUCUGUUUUAUCUGAUAGAAAUAUAGCUACUAUCGCUCAAAAAAAAAAAAAAA